Molecule: ribosomal RNA, 468 nt
Filed under: uncultured bacterium
Lineage: Bacteria
Description: partial 16S ribosomal RNA
Rfam family: Bacterial small subunit ribosomal RNA
Source: RNAcentral
GACGAACGCUGGCGGCGUGCUUAACACAUGCAAGUCGAACGGAAAGGCCCUGCUUUUGUGGGGUGCUCGAGUGGCGAACGGGUGAGUAACACGUGAGUAACCUGCCCUUGACUUUGGGAUAACUUCAGGAAACUGGGGCUAAUACCGGAUAGGAGCUCCUGCUGCAUGGUGGGGGUUGGAAAGUUUCGGCGGUUGGGGAUGGACUCGCGGCUUAUCAGCUUGUUGGUGGGGUAGUGGCUUACCAAGGCUUUGACGGGUAGCCGGCCUGAGAGGGUGACCGGCCACAUUGGGACUGAGAUACGGCGCAGACUCGUACGGGAGGCAGCAGUGGGGAAUAUUGCACAAUGGGCGGAAGCCUGAUGCAGCAACGCCGCGUGCGGGAUGACGGCCUUCGGGUUGUAAACCGCUUUCGCCUGUGACGAAGCGUGAGUGACGGUAAUGGGUAAAGAAGCACCGGCUAACUACGUG